UUAUUGUAAGAUAUUGUUUAUUGUAAAACUCUUGUGUUCCUUCCGUACAUACUAAAACAAAAGGUCACUUUAAAGGCACAUUAUGUUGUAGUCAAGAAUAAAAGAAUACAAUGUUGUGAAAUGUCAUACUGUAUGAUGGGCCCUGUCUUGCUGUGCCUUCUUUAUAUCAAUUUAAAAUAUACACAUUAGAUACAAAGCAAGUGGCAGAACAUUUAGUUGGACCCUACUUAUGCAAAAAUUGUAUUUUUUUAUAUGCACAGAGAGUUUCUGGAAGGACAGAAAAUAAUCUACUGAUAAUGAUUCUAUCUAAGGUCAAGAUUCUUUUACUUUUUCUUGUUUUUUGAGACAGAGUUUCACUGUUGUUGCCCUGGCUGGAGUUCGAUGGCGCAAUCUCGGCUCACCGCAAACUCCGCUUCCCGGGCAACAAGAGUGAAACUCUGUCUCAAAAACAAAAAAACAAAAAACAAAACAAAAAAAACCACAUUAUGACACCUACAGGCUAAUUCAUGUAGAGAACCAGGAUCUCUUCACGGGUAAUACCAUGAAGAAUUACCUCCAAGUAUUCCCAGGGUUAUUCCAUAAAUGUGGGGGUUUGAGCUACAGCAUUUUUACUAAAAUGAGGUAACUCAGUGGAGCUCAAUCCAGAAGAAACUUCUGACUCAGAGGUUCUAGCCACAUUUAGUAUCUGGAUGUAUCUACGCUGCUACACCCAACUCUGCUCAGUGUUUUUCCUUCACUGAGUC
This 743-nucleotide long non-coding RNA is filed under the name Homo sapiens (human). RNAcentral describes it as "novel transcript". The record is from RNAcentral. Lineage: Eukaryota; Metazoa; Chordata; Mammalia; Primates; Hominidae.